Long non-coding RNA from Spinacia oleracea (spinach), 1000 nucleotides. RefSeq lists it as uncharacterized. The record is from RefSeq and is a predicted model, not a curated record. The transcript is spliced from 3 exons. NCBI's taxonomy places the organism in Eukaryota, Viridiplantae, Streptophyta, Magnoliopsida, Caryophyllales, Amaranthaceae.
CCCUGCAAUAACAUGUUGUAAUUUUUUUCGCUGCAACGUUGAUUCAGACCAAACAUUUCAUCUCAAACCUCAAAACCAAUUUCGAAAUACAUAUCCCGCGCUCAGUACUCCCUUCUUCUUCCCUCAACUUUCCCUGCGUCUCGCCCGUCGCCGGUGAUUCUCGCCAGUUGUCAUCGCCGCUGGGUCUUGCCCGUUGUCGGUGGUACUCCAGCAAGGGUCUAUUUCCUCGCCUCCUCACCAGUGGUUCCCUGCUCGAUAAACCACCGCAGAAGUUAUUCCCUGCUCGAAAAACCACCGGUGAAGUCAUUUCCUGCUCGAAAAACUAAGCUACUUUGCUCGGCCGGUUCGUGAACCCUGUUCUCCGUCAAUCCUUGCCGCAACAAUUAAAUCUCCAAAAUUUUCGCUUUUUUGGAAGUUCGGUGAUUCCAAGUCCUGUGGUAAAGGUGUUGAUGUAUUGAGAUCAAGGAGACUACUUUGCCACUUGUUGCCUUGGAAAAGAGCUACUUAUUGGAGGUUUGUCUGGCAGAAAACAUAUGCUAUAUCAAUUGAGUUUGAUGUCAAUAUUUUUGCUUGUUGGUGCAAUGGUCUGACAGAAAUUAUCUGGGAAUAUUUUUAGUCGAAAACCAUUUUCUUCAAGAAAGAGGGGUGUUGUGUAUGUAAGGUCGGGUCGUGGUUUUUCUUUAAGAAGAUCAAAGGUCGUAAGUCUCUCUUGAACCAGUUUAAAAUGGUCCGAGUCCAUGGAAAAGCGUUCAAAGAAGUUUGAAGAGGUUAGUUAUGUAUUUAUUUCAAUGUAAUUUCUACAAAUGAGAUUGUUUUCUUGUGGCUCUUCACUAAUAUAUGGGUGCACCAUGCAGCUUGUAAAUAGGUAACUUCAUCCUCACCUGUAGCAUAUUUGGUGGAAAGACAAAGAAAUAACAAGGCUGGUGGGAUAUUAAGAGAAUUGAAUAGAUAAGAAUAGUCUAAGGGCAAAACAAUUUCUAAAAUGUUAGACAGUCAGGAA